This is a non-coding RNA of Ictidomys tridecemlineatus (thirteen-lined ground squirrel), 1946 nucleotides long. NCBI's taxonomy places the organism in Eukaryota, Metazoa, Chordata, Mammalia, Rodentia, Sciuridae. The record is from RefSeq and is a predicted model, not a curated record.
CCUUGACUUCACAAGGCCAUUUUCCACGCUGCCUCCACUUCGAUCCAGCACGGGAUCCAGUGAUUUCUGUUCUCUGCUACACACUGAUGGAGUGCCAACUGAGGAGAUUUAAGAGAAAUUCAUUAAAAACAAGCCACGCUCCCUAGAGGAAAACUUCCCAGAGAAUGGAAUUGUUGCUCCAAUGGCUGAAGGUUGCUGUCAGGAGAUGAGUAAGGCAGGCAGGCAUGUAGGAGCCCAAGAGGCUGCAAACAGCUCCAAACAGCAGGUGGAGGGAUGAAGUUUUGACACAAAAGUGGUCUCCCAGAAGAAUCCUUUGCAUUUGGUGACAUCUGGAUGAAGCAGAGAUCUGGGUGUGCAAAGAGGUGGAAGGAGCACCCAUACGGCACAAUCUAUUUUAUUGUUGUAACAAGGCCAGAGGACAUCAGGUGCAUGAACCAAGUUCUGCUGGCAGAACUACAACUGUACUGACGUCCCCGGAUAUCACGCCACCUGUCCUCUUGGGACCAAAGAGACGAGCAGACCUCCCAGGGGACUCGGUGUUGGCCAAGCAGCCACAGGGGAAGGCAGGGUUUCCAUCCAUUCCCGGGCCCUGGUUCUCCACGCUCCCCUGCCCCGGCCAGCUUUGUACCGCUCUGUUCCACGGCUUCCCUGUGAGCUCAGGUUUUCUUUUCUCUUUCCCAUUAAGAGUUUGGUGUUAGCAGGCCCCUUCAAAGUGUUAUUGUAACUUUAUGGAUUGGAAAAGACCACGAGGCGAGUCCUCAGAAAGGAAAAGGAAAAUAAAGUAGGAAGUGCUGUGAAGUAUAAGUUAACAGAGGAGGACACGGUUUAGCAUGAGAGUCGCCAGGAAGCAAGAGAAGCUGCAGCUGGCCUUCCUGCCUAGGCCACCCCAGAGGGCACACGUGACAGUACUGGGAAAGCCAGCCAGGGGUCUCAGGCCAGGGGUCAGGGGGUUUCCCUAGGUGUCCUGACAGUCUACUCCGUCUCUGGAGUAGAACUUGAACGGUCUCAUUGAGGACCUGCUACAGGAUAGAGCCGCCCCCCCCCAGUGCCAAAAAGAGAGCACAAAUACAAAUAUUUGGGAAAAAAUAUUUAAAAUCCCAGUUAGCAAAAUCCUCCAACUUUCCCAAAUGACUGAAGAGAGACCAUUUGGUUUAGGUAAAGAUUAUCCCCGCAAGAUGCACGUGUCGAAGGCCACACAGCAAUAUCCAGAGACGGGCAGGGGAAUUUGGGAAUGAUCGGAUCACGAGGGUGCCAAUCUUACCAGUGAGUUAAUUCAUUUGAUGGAUUAACAGUUUUGAUCGACUCCUAGGUGGAGGCUAUAGACAGGUGGCACAUGGUGGAAGACAGUAGGCCAACGGGGGCAUGCCCUGGGGGACGAUACCUCGUCUGUGCCUCAUUCUCUCCACCCCCUACUCAGUAACCAUGAGCUGAGCAGCUUUCCACCCCCAGACCCUGUGCCCUCAGGUCCUGCCUCACCUCAGGCCCAGAGCAGUGGAGCCAGCCAACCAUGAACUGCCUCGGAAACCAAGAGGCAAGACAAACCUUUCUUCAAGUUAUCUGUCAGGUCUAUUAGUCACAGCCACGAGAAGCUAACAGACUGCUGACCUUGUGACAGUUAGAAAAUAUGACAGACUACCAGACUUACAAACCAAGAGCAGGCUCAGGAACAUAAGGUCACACCCCUUGUCCGAUUCUUGUCAGGAGACGUUUGAUAAAAAGGAAUUCCAAUUUCAGAAUAUUCUUUCCCCUUGGAAAGACCACUAGACAGAUACUCUUUGAUCUUCACACCCAUGAAGACCUUUAUUUUUCCACAGGAUUCCAUUUGAAUUAAGGGUUAAAAGAAUAUAUUCUUAUCUCUAAAACAUAACAUUUCUCGGUUCUCUCCAUGUUUCCAACUUCCUCAUGUCACACAGUUAACAAUAAAAUUCAAAAUGUGUGCUUAUCUA